Molecule: non-coding RNA, 1813 nt
Organism: Caretta caretta (loggerhead turtle)
Lineage: Eukaryota; Metazoa; Chordata; Testudines; Cheloniidae
Source: RefSeq, a predicted model, not a curated record
AGGUCAGCAACCUCCAUUUCUUCUUUGAGCGCUGGUCCCUAUGUGUAUUCCACAUGUGGGUGAUAGAUAAGCAGUAUUUAAACAGGAGCGGGUGGUGAGGAUACAGUUGUUAUAGAUUCUUGUCAUACUGCAGUCCCAACAGCUGCAUCUGCAGAGAAGGCUUGAACUAAAACAAAUGUUUCCUGAAUGUAGGGAUGGAGCUUCAGGUAGCUGGUCUACAGCCCGGAGCCCAAGCCCUGGAGCCCCCAUGGAAAAAAAUAGUGGGUGCUCAGCACCCACCAGCCACCCGGCCAUCAACUGUUCAGCAGCGGUGGGGAGGUGCUGGGGGAAGCGGGUGGCACGGGGGCAGGAAGAGGCGGAGCAAGGGCAGAGCAGGGUGGUCCUUGGGGGGAGGGAAUGGAGUGGGGGUGGAGCACCCAUCCAGACAGAAGAAAGUCGGAACCCGUGUUCACAAUAGGUACCUCUCAGAGAGGUGCUGCCAAAGUGGCUCGUGCUCUAGUGGAAUGGGCUCUCACCCCAGCCAGGGGAGGAAUACGCACUAAUUGGUAACACAGAAUGAUGCAGCUGGAGAUCUACUUAGAUAGUUGCCGAGCAGAUAAUACCUGUCCUCAUAACCACUCUGCUAUAGCUCCAAUUAAUCCUGGUGAUUUUCUAUCCAUUUUGUCCUUUGCAGGUAGAACACCAGAGCUCACUGACAUCCAGAGAGUGAAGUCUCCUGUCCUCACUAGAAACAGGAAGUUUUGGGAAGAAUACCGGUUUGAAGCAGAAGAAGCCUGGAGAAAUCUGUGGACAUAGAGGAUUCCGACUCGGGCCAUGCAACAGUAAGAAGGAACGGAAGAGGUACAAGUCCCACCAACACUUACACCCUUGGUUGAGAGCAUAACAAGAACAACUAAACAGGCACGGACCAAUGGACACGACUUGCUAGAAAUCUCAGGCGCAGGGUGCACGUGUGUAUCCACUUGUGGAAUACACAUGUAAGGACCAGCACUCGAAGAAGCGGGUAUUAUGCAAGUCCUGCUCCUUUGGUAAAUUACUGGAUUGAGCUGCUGCAAUACAGAAGCCUAGUGGUGCCAACUGGCAAAGGAUUCACUACUCUGUCAGCAAUUCCUAUCAGGGCUGACAAACUCACUACUGCGAACACAUUGCUUUCAUGGUAUUUAUCUAUAAAUUAUGAAUUGUAAGGUAUCAAAUGAAAGCUGGAGACACACUGGCCAUACCUGAUGAAAGCUGUACAUACAGAUGGUGUGUAAGCAGUUAUAUGUACCUACUAAAAUAUGUUUUAAACUAUUUAAAAAAGCAAAUUUGACAAACAGGUUUUCUGCCGGACAAACUAUAGCCAUUCACCUGUCCCUGUCUCUGAUGUAAAUUAAGCACUGUAAGCCAAACACACAGGAGCUACAUUUGCAUUCCAAGUCAGCAUGAGGCUGAGAAGUCCUCCUGAGGGUCAGCACACUGAAGAACAAAUGGAGGGUGUUUCCAACCUUUACUGGUCUAUAACUGGGGGACAAGACAGAUAUUUUGGUUGUCCAUCAGCAAGGGAGCAAAAAGAACAGCGCCUUUUGCAUUCAUGAAUGCUGGAUCCUAGCCAUGUAGAUUGGUGACAUUAGGCAGAAGCUUUAGGUGAGACACUGCUUUAGACGAGACGCUGCUUUAGACAAGGAUUUCAGCCUGUUAAAGGUAAAUGUAGGCUCUAAGGACCAUGUUAUACCUUUUGCUUUACAUGUAACCAUUUCUGUUUCCAUUAUCCUUUCUCAGUAUCUCUUAAAUCUUUAUCUUUGACAAUAAACUUACAAUUGUUUCACUAUAAAUA